GACGAACGCUGGCGGCGUGCUUAACACAUGCAAGUCGAACGGAAAGGCCCUGCUUUUGUGGGGUGCUCGAGUGGCGAACGGGUGAGUAACACGUGAGUAACCUGCCCUUGACUUUGGGAUAACUUCAGGAAACUGGGGCUAAUACCGGAUAGGAGCUCCUGCUGCAUGGUGGGGGUUGGAAAGUUUCGGCGGUUGGGGAUGGACUCGCGGCUUAUCAGCUUGUUGGUGGGGUAGUGGCUUACCAAGGCUUUGACGGGUAGCCGGCCUGAGAGGGUGACCGGACACAUUGGGACUGAGAUACGGCCCAGACUCCGACGGGAGGCAGCAGUGGGGAAUAUUGCACAAUGGGCGGAAGCCUGAUGCAGCAACGCCGCGUGCGGGAUGACGGCCUUCGGGUUGUAAACCGCUUUCGCCUGUGACGAAGCGUGAGUGACGGUAAUGGGUAAAGAAGCACCGGCUAACUACGU
This 467-nucleotide ribosomal RNA is filed under the name uncultured bacterium. Its description in RNAcentral is "partial 16S ribosomal RNA". It matches the Rfam family "Bacterial small subunit ribosomal RNA", at positions 28 to 506 of the family's 1533-position model. The record is from RNAcentral.